Molecule: ribosomal RNA, 588 nt
Filed under: Vibrio cholerae
Lineage: Bacteria; Pseudomonadati; Pseudomonadota; Gammaproteobacteria; Vibrionales; Vibrionaceae
Description: partial 23S ribosomal RNA
Rfam family: Bacterial large subunit ribosomal RNA
Source: RNAcentral
CCUGGGCAGUCAGAGGCGAUGAAGGACGUACUAACUUGCGAUAAGCGCAGAUAAGGCAGUAAGAGCCGUUUGAGUCUGCGAUUUCCGAAUGGGGAAACCCAACUGCAUAAGCAGUUACUGUUAACUGAAUACAUAGGUUAACAGAGCAAACCGGGGGAACUGAAACAUCUAAGUACCCCGAGGAGAAGAAAUCAACCGAGAUUCCGGUAGUAGCGGCGAGCGAACCUGGAUUAGCCCUUAAGCACUCGGUGAAGUAGGUGAACAAGCUGGAAAGCUUGGCGAUACAGGGUGAUAGCCCCGUAACCGACGCUUCAUCGAGCGUGAAAUCGAGUAGGGCGGGACACGUGAUAUCCUGUCUGAAUAUGGGGGGACCAUCCUCCAAGGCUAAAUACUCCUGACUGACCGAUAGUGAACCAGUACCGUGAGGGAAAGGCGAAAAGAACCCCUGUGAGGGGAGUGAAAUAGAACCUGAAACCGUGUACGUACAAGCAGUAGGAGCACCUUCGUGGUGUGACUGCGUACCUUUUGUAUAAUGGGUCAGCGACUUAUAUUCAGUGGCAAGGUUAACCGUAUAGGGGAGCCGUAGCG